Chiloscyllium plagiosum (whitespotted bambooshark) is the source of this 841-nucleotide non-coding RNA. The record is from RefSeq and is a predicted model, not a curated record. Lineage: Eukaryota; Metazoa; Chordata; Chondrichthyes; Orectolobiformes; Hemiscylliidae.
UGAAUGAUGGGCGGAGCUAAACUAAAUCAUGUGAUCACCCUUCGCGCGGCGCAGAGUCGCUGUAAUGAAGGCUCGGCAAGUUAUGGAGAGAAAGGAUACGAUUCUACCAUCUGCCGAGCUGGGAUUCGAACAAGGACUUCAGUUGUACAUUUUAAUAUUCUGGAUAAAAGUUAAAUAUGUUAGGAUACUACAGGUGGACAUUCAGCUGGUAAUCUCAGUCAUUGUAACACCUAACUCUGAUUGAAUUAGUCAAUUCAUCAGGACCUGGAUAUUCUCAUUGUGUGGUUCUGAAAGGGCGGACUUGUGGAUGAGAAAUUCAAAUUGAACUUCACGUUCCGUUUUGAUAGUUACUUGAUCCGUGCCGAACUGAAUAUCAUUGGCCUUUUCAUGUGGAAGCAAAGCUGCUAGAUGGUGAAGAUUCACAGACUGAAAUCUCAAAAUCAUGUGCAGAUCGUGAUUAAGUUAACCAGCAUUUGGCGAACCAAAUAUUGAGAGUCAAUCGGCCAAAAUCCUGCAACACUCUCCCUCACAGCAUUGUCGGUCUAUCUGCGCCAAAUGAACUGCAAAUGGUUCGAGACAGCAGUUCACUACCAUCUUGUCAAGGGUAACUAGAGAUGGGGAAUAAAUGCUGGCUGAGCCAGUGAUGCCCAUAUCCUGGAAAUGGUUUCUAUCUCUAUUUACUGAAACCUGAUUGUUACUGCAGGAUUAUGAGGGAUGCUGAGUGCAUGCUUCAGGAGGCAGAACCAUCACAUUACCCCUGCCUACACCCACACAGUAACACCGCAACGGCACUGGAACAAAAGGCAAUGAAGCUAAAGGAGGACUUAGAUAUAGUUCUGAA